AAAAAUUUAGUUAAAAAAAAAUAACAUUAGCCUGUCAAGCUAAAAUUAUUAUCUAUUAAUAAUUUUUA
Molecule: transfer RNA, 68 nt
Filed under: Scarabaeidae sp. BMNH 1274753
Lineage: Eukaryota; Metazoa; Arthropoda; Insecta; Coleoptera; Scarabaeidae
Description: tRNA-Asp
Rfam family: tRNA
About the family: Transfer RNA (tRNA) molecules are approximately 80 nucleotides in length. Their secondary structure includes four short double-helical elements and three loops (D, anti-codon, and T loops). Further hydrogen bonds mediate the characteristic L-shaped molecular structure. tRNAs have two regions of fundamental functional importance: the anti-codon, which is responsible for specific mRNA codon recognition, and the 3' end, to which the tRNAs corresponding amino acid is attached (by aminoacyl-tRNA synthetases). tRNAs cope with the degeneracy of the genetic code in two manners: having more than one tRNA (with a specific anti-codon) for a particular amino acid; and 'wobble' base-pairing, i.e. permitting non-standard base-pairing at the 3rd anti-codon position.
Source: RNAcentral